AGUGAACGCUGGCGGUAGGCCUAACACAUGCAAGUCGAACGGCAGCACAGUAAGAGCUUGCUCUUACGGGUGGCGAGUGGCGGACGGGUGAGGAAUACAUCGGAAUCUACUUUUUCGUGGGGGAUAACGUAGGGAAACUUACGCUAAUACCGCAUACGACCUACGGGUGAAAGCAGGGGAUCUUCGGACCUUGCGCGAUUGAAUGAGCCGAUGUCGGAUUAGCUAGUUGGCGGGGUAAAGGCCCACCAAGGCGACGAUCCGUAGCUGGUCUGAGAGGAUGAACAACCACACUGGAAAUGAGACAGCGUCCAGACUCCUACGGGAGGCAGCAGUGGGGAAUAUUGGACAAAGGGCGCAAGCCUGAUCCAGCCAUACCGCGUGGGUGAAGAAGGCCUUCGGGUUGUAAAGCCCUUUUGUUGGGAAAGAAAAGCAGCAGGUUAAUACCCCGCUGUUCUGACGGUACCCAAAGAAUAAGCACCGGCUAACUUCGUG
Molecule: ribosomal RNA, 492 nt
Filed under: uncultured bacterium
Lineage: Bacteria
Description: partial 16S ribosomal RNA
Rfam family: Bacterial small subunit ribosomal RNA
Source: RNAcentral